RNAcentral lists this long non-coding RNA (806 nucleotides) under Anas platyrhynchos platyrhynchos (common mallard). RNAcentral describes it as "lncRNA (ENSAPLG00000025187.1)". Lineage: Eukaryota; Metazoa; Chordata; Aves; Anseriformes; Anatidae. The record is from RNAcentral.
CCAGGCAUACAGCAUCCCUCCCCCUGGUGCACCCAGGGGAGAAGCAGGGAGGAAGGGAAAGGCGGAGAGGGAGAGGCUCCUGAGCCAAAACGCCAAGCAUGGGGAGAGAACAGAGCAAGAUCUCCACAGCCACAAAGCACAGAGCCAGAGGAACCAGGGAGGUCUCACGAGGUGGUGGUGUGCCGCAUGCUCCAGUCGGUGGGAUUGGAGCUGCUUUGUUUCCUCUGGUUGCCAGAAAAGGGAAAAUGAGCAGCGUUUGGCCUGGAGAUGCUGUCUGGGCACAGCCCUUCUCCGUGGGCUCAGCGCCCCUCCACACCCCUCCUCGGUUCGGCUUCCCGGCUGCUGUAAUCUCUUUAGAGCAGGCUCGGCAUGAAGAUAACGACGCCUUUGAUGGCUGGAACCCGUUAUGAUCAUGCACUGCUUGGUCAUGUCAGGGAUAAAAAUAACUUCUGUAUUUUCAAGGUGUGCAAAUGUCAGCUUUUGAUAAAAGCAAAGUGAAUUUGGAAGGGCAUGGCCCCAAUUCAGCUGACUGCCGUCAGCCUGUGCAGAGCCCGUGUUCAGAACGUGCUAACUGCCGUCAAACAGGCGUGUGUUUAAGCAUCUACUUAAAUGUUGCACUAAUUAGGACCUGUGAGAACUUGUGUGGUAAUUACAUUUUUCCAGCUACACUGCAGCUACUAUUAUUUUAUAAAUAGAUGGAGCAAAAGCAAAUAUGUCUGUUGCUACCGCACCUUGCGCUUUAGAUUAAGAAACACCAGCUGCCUUAAAAAAAUAAAAAUAAAUAAAUAAAAAUAAAAAAAACUGAU